GGAGCAUCCACAUAAUCUCAGCAAACAUAGCCUGUAGGAUUGGGCCAAUUAAAAAAAAAAAGAGCAUCCUUUACGUCAACUGUCAUUUUAAUGACAUUGACAGGACAGUAUCCACUCAUUCAUUCGCUGAUUUUGCUCGCUCAUUCAAUCAAUCAUUCAUUCACUCAAUUCUUUUCGAAAUUCCGAGAAAAAAAUCUUGAUUCCGAAAUAUUCGGAAAUAAAAGCAAACAAAUAAUGGUCAUUUUACCGUAUUUACAUUGUUUACCGUAUAAACAAGAUGGUUUCUUAUUAUCACCAAAUGCAUCGUGACUGGUUGCUCAUCCACCAAGUCCAGGGUUUUUUCUCUAGCACGUGAUGAAGCAUUGCAGGCUCUAAGGAUACAGUACCUCCUGCCUGCAAAUCCUUUAUCAGGAACUAUGACAAAGGAGCAACUUCGUCAAAGAAAGGUCUGCCAAUCACAUUUUGAGGAUAAAUAAAUCUAAAACAAUCUAUUUGUUAUGAAUUGUCAUAUUGAUGAAUGGAUGUCCUAUUUUUUAUUUAUCCAUGAAGAAAAUAAUAACAUCUCGGCGACCAUCCAAGCUGUUGCUGAUCAGGUCAUCCAGUAAGUUAAACUGCUAAUAGAGAUAACUUCAAUUCAAUGUUGUUGCCAGAUAAUGCUGUGAGUGAAGAAACUAUAUCCUGCCAUCUACAUCAGAGCCACAUCUGUCAUUAUGGAUAAUAUUAUUGCUGCGUCCUAAGGUUCAGCUUGCAAAUAAACCCAUCAAGCAGAGGCGGUACACACAAACAAAAGGUGGACUCUUUGGUUUUUUUUAAAACGGAGCCCGAAAGCGUAUGAGCUAUUGCGCCACAUAUUAUUUAUUUUGCCUAGUCAACGAUCAAGAAAAUGAAGGUAUUGAGUGAAAAAACUGCCGCAAUGAUACAGCCCCAAAUUUGAUUCCGGCCCAGUGUAUAGUUUUUUUAACUAAAGUUUUUUGUUAUUUUUGCCUCAAGAAU
This is a long non-coding RNA of Ostrinia nubilalis (European corn borer), 993 nucleotides long. RefSeq lists it as uncharacterized. The transcript has 6 exons. The record is from RefSeq and is a predicted model, not a curated record. NCBI's taxonomy places the organism in Eukaryota, Metazoa, Arthropoda, Insecta, Lepidoptera, Crambidae.